CACAUGACUCCAGUGACUCCAGUGAAUGAAGCAGGUCUAUAAGUACUGGUAUGGGAAACACCCAUAUGGUGCAAUUCAGAGACCAUUUCUGG
Molecule: long non-coding RNA, 92 nt
Filed under: Sus scrofa (pig)
Lineage: Eukaryota; Metazoa; Chordata; Mammalia; Artiodactyla; Suidae
Description: lncRNA (ENSSSCG00070022639.1)
Source: RNAcentral